GGCACGAUGGCAGAGUGGUUAUCGCGUAAGACUCGAAUCUUUCAAGACAUGGCAGGGCAACCUUCUCAUGUUCUCUGAUUCAGACAUCUUAUUCCUUCGGGAGCGCAGGUUCAAAUCCUGCUCGUGUCG
Non-coding RNA from Diatrype stigma, 129 nucleotides. The record is from the annotation of a GenBank genome assembly. NCBI's taxonomy places the organism in Eukaryota, Fungi, Ascomycota, Sordariomycetes, Xylariales, Diatrypaceae.